GCAUAACUAUGUAUAGUGAUGCCAUUUAUGAAGACAUAAAUGAAUGGGGAGGAAUGUGUUUACACAGUAGUGGAAUUAGAAAUGCACAUAUGAAAUACCCAAGUGAAAUGUCAUAGAAGAAGUGUUUCAUAAGUCUGGAACUCAGUGAAGAGAUUUGUUUUAAAAUUCUAUAUUUGAGGGAUAUUGCACAGAGAAUGACUUGGGGAAUCUGCCCCCAUAAGAGGGCUAAAAAGAAAGCAUAGCCUCAAAUGAUGCAUCCAGCAAUCCAAAGUUUGGUGAUCUCCAGUCACAGAGUAUUUAUCCUCAUGUUCAAAUCUUUUUCUUUCAUCUUCAUUAUUCAAUCCUUUUUAUCUUCUCCAGGAUCUAACUCAGUAUUUCAUAUCCAUUUGCUAUAAAUAUUAUAAAAUUCCUGUAAAAUAAAUGCUAUGAUUUGUUGUAUAUGUGUAAGUAACAAAAUCCAGAGAGGUUAGUUGACCUGUUACCAAUCUUCUAAAUUGUAUUUUCUGCUUCCAAGACUUUUGACCUACUUUAUUUCCCCUAAAUUAUUUUUAUGCCCAUCAAUGGUGGGAUGUGGGGUAUCACUUCUGAUUGCUUUGCUGCUCAUUUCCUCUUGGAGUGCAGUCUGGCCCUUUCCAGACAGAUAUCCAAAGAGAUUGCAUGAAGCCUCCUUCCAGGUGACCCUAAUAAUUUCCUAAAGACAAUGAUGCCAUUAGUGACAAACAACAUUAAAAAUUUAAGCAGAAGAUAAAUGAAUUUAUCCUGAGAUACUAGGAGACUCACAAAAUUUCCCAGGAGGACCUGCAAGUCAGUCUCACAAGAUGCUCAUAAAGAAUAAUGUCCAAACCUACACAGCAAACCCAGGCUGAUGAAGAUAACACAAACUCUCCACUGAUCAUGGAUACCCUCGCCUGCAUCAUUGACAGACACUUGUAAUGCUGGACAGUGGAUGCUUUCACUAGAACUGCUGCUGUAAAAAGAUAUAUCAGCUAUCAUUGCCACUUCUCAUUGCUAGAGUUACCCCUUUGGGUCUUACCACCUUCUUCAUUAAGUAUUGAGACCAUGAUCCUGCAACCUGUACACUUGGAAAAAUGAGAAUUCAUACCCCAUUUGAAUCAAAUGUAUGAUAUGU
This 1129-nucleotide long non-coding RNA is filed under the name Marmota monax (woodchuck). Lineage: Eukaryota; Metazoa; Chordata; Mammalia; Rodentia; Sciuridae. The record is from RNAcentral.